RNAcentral lists this ribosomal RNA (462 nucleotides) under uncultured bacterium. RNAcentral describes it as "bacterial SSU rRNA". It matches the Rfam family "Bacterial small subunit ribosomal RNA", at positions 28 to 507 of the family's 1533-position model. The record is from RNAcentral.
GAUGAACGCUGGCGGCGUGCUUAACACAUGCAAGUCGAACGAAGUGGAUGUCUUCGGACUGAAACUUAGUGGCGGACGGGUGAGUAACGCGUGGGUAACCUGCCUCGUACAGGGGGAUAACAGUUAGAAAUGACUGCUAAUACCGCAUAACCCGCUAAGGUCGCAUGACCUGGACGGAAAAGAUUUAUCGGUACGAGAUGGACCCGCGUCUGAUUAGCUAGUUGGUGAGGUAACGGCCCACCAAGGCGACGAUCAGUAGCCGACCUGAGAGGGUGAUCGGCCACAUUGGGACUGAGACACGGCCCAAACUCCUACGGGAGGCAGCAGUGGGGAAUAUUGCACAAUGGGGGAAACCCUGAUGCAGCAACGCCGCGUGAGUGAUGAAGUAUUUCGGUAUGUAAAACUCUAUCAGCAGGGAAGAAAUUGACAGUACCUGACUAAGAAGCCCCGGCUAACUACGUG